Long non-coding RNA from Capsicum annuum, 939 nucleotides. RefSeq lists it as uncharacterized. Lineage: Eukaryota; Viridiplantae; Streptophyta; Magnoliopsida; Solanales; Solanaceae. The record is from RefSeq and is a predicted model, not a curated record. The transcript has 4 exons.
CAAAGAAAUAGUAUUGAUCUAGGUCUUAACAAAAACUUAAAUCUACUGCUCCGAGUUAAAGGGUUAACAAACACUUUUAGGGCAUAUUCAAACCAAAAAGUUUGGGUCUUCAAUCGAUCGACUGCUCUGAAUACACUACUCGAUAGACUACUCCAGAUCUUCAAAUCAGUGCUCUAGUGCUCCAAUGCAUCUCAAAAUUAACAAAAACUUUGGGUCUCUAAUCGAAUACUGCUCCGACUACGAGUGCUCCGACCGCUUCAAUUGAACCUUAGCCAUCUAUUAAAAAAGGAUAAGCUUCAAAAUUUUGGGUUGACAGCACACAAAUAUACUCGAGACAUUGACUCCACAAGUUAGGAAGCGUGAAGAUGUUCUAAGAGAGCUUCAGGUAAGUUGCCUGAUGUGACGUCUUUGAUACCUGCUAGCCCGAACACAUCUUCUGGUUUAUAUUUUGGAAGGCAAAGGGCAAAGGAUCCUAUAAUGGUAUUUGUUUCUUGUGCCACUGGAAAAUCUGGUAUCCGCAAUGCUCAGAUACUGCUGCGUGAAGGUUAUAGUGUAAGAGCUUGAGUUUCUGACCUUGGUGCAGCACAAAAUCUAGCUUAUCUAGCCAUUAGCUACAAGGUAUGGCAGAAUGUGUUGUCUGCCAUUCCAAGCUAGUUUCUCCAACUGUAAAGACUAUUUGAAGGGCAUAUGAUCGACACAGAAGCAAGGUUUCAUCAAACCAAGAUGCCCUUAAUGUCCUAAUGGUUGUAGUAGAUUGUAUGUUGGGUUGUUUACGAGUAGCAGUCCUUUUUAGAUGUUGUAACUUUUUACAUGUCUUCUUCUCAGUUCUUGUAAGAGAAGUUCGUAAUUUAUGCAUGGAAAUGAUAAUAUCCGACUUGUAAAGUGUAUAUACUUAUUAAGCUUGUUGAUGUCCUGUGGAUUGUGCUCUUUCCCUAACAA